This 1580-nucleotide long non-coding RNA is filed under the name Cinara cedri. The record is from RNAcentral. Lineage: Eukaryota; Metazoa; Arthropoda; Insecta; Hemiptera; Aphididae.
AAAACGAUCGCGAAUCUGCUCUUCUGCGCAACAUUAUAAGUACCUAUAAUAUUAUUAUCAUUCAACCGGACCGCGCUCUCGCGAAAACAGUUGGACAUUGAAAAUAUCGUUUUGUCGUUGCAUACUAUUCGCAUAUUCGCAUUUAUUUAUUUAGACGAUUAUUACUGUUAUUACUAUUAAUACCUAUUGUUUGUUUGUUUGUUUGUUUGUUUUUUUUUUUUUUUUUAUAAAAUUUGCAUCCAACACUUUUACAUAUUAAUACGCAACAGACCGGAUAACUUAUAAUAUUCUAUAUAUUUAUAAUUAUGUAAUAAUGUGUAAUAUAGUACGAAUUUAUUCCCUAGUUUUAUAGAAAAUAGUUUUGAAAAAAAAAAAAAAAAUAGUCGAUAUUUAUAUUUAAACUUACUCUCUAUAUUACUAUUAUACUUACUCGUACGUAGUUUGUAGCCUUUAUAUACUUGGUGCGUUAUUAUACGGUUACCCUUCGCGUCUCCAAAUACGACAGAAUAAUAUCAACAAUUAUAAUGUGCGAUACGAUAACAAAAGUCGCAGACUUUUCCCCGGCUACAACACGCCUACGUAAUUCAAUAUUAUUGUAUUGUGUUCGUCGACGUUAUCGUUAUUAUUGUUAUUGUUCGAAAAACGAAGGACUUCGGCGCGAACGUAAUGACGAAAAGGAUACGCGGGUAUCGUCACGGAUAGGCGUGCGUCACGUUCCGGAAUCGCAAUAUCCUCGCCCGCGGUCGUGGACUGUAGAGAGAGGGAUCCAUGCCCGAGGCCGAAAUCGUCGCGUCUCCGCUCCGUAUCGGUUUUCAUAUUAUUAUAACACCUUAUACCCGGCGACGGUGUUCCCGCAAAAUGUUUUCAAGAGUAUUCACUGAUAACGUGUUGUGUAUAUUCCUCGCGAUGGUUCAUACCGUUAAUAGGGAUACAAAUAACGGUUUACGACAGUCGAAUUGAAAUUUCCGCGUUAAAACGCUCAAAAUUAAAAAAAAAAAAAACUACAAAACGAAGCAUUUUAAACCGUAAGGAUAUCGCGAAUUUUCAGUCGUAAUUAUUGAAAUAUAAAAAAAUGUAUAAUCGAUUAUAUUCAGUAGCGAAAAUAACGAGUGGGCAAGACCCACUCGAGGUAUUAUCGGACAGACUUUUUUUUGUUUUUGCUCGUCGGUACCGAGUCGGUAAAAUAUUUUGCCACGGGCAUAGGAAAUUCUAGUUACGGCACUGACUAUAUUAUGGUUUUAGGGUCAGAAGACGGGUUACGAACGGCCAAUGAUACAAUAAUAUAUUAUCAUGACAAAUUAGUUUCUCCUCCCCCCUUUCCCCGUUAUUAUUAUUCGACUGUUUUAACCGUUGAAACUAUUUGAGAGAGCACACCUACGCGGUAUACACGCGAUUUAACAGCAAAAUGUCGAGAGUAUUAAACAGGGACACCACCGAUUACACCUGUGGUAAUUUUAUCACUGUUGUGUCGGUUAUGAUCGCGAGACGGAGACGGACAAUAUUGAACACAUCGUGUAUUCUGCGGCAGAUACAUGUACAUCGUAAAAUAACAAUAAUUAUGAUAACACGACGAAACGCCA